Molecule: non-coding RNA, 69 nt
Organism: Octopus bimaculoides (California two-spot octopus)
Lineage: Eukaryota; Metazoa; Mollusca; Cephalopoda; Octopoda; Octopodidae
Source: Rfam
ACUAAAGUGAUGAACAUGAUAUCCGCCCCAGUCUGAAUUUUGUGACUGAGUUGAUAUAACUGAUUUAGU